This 59-nucleotide microRNA precursor is filed under the name Xyrichtys novacula (pearly razorfish). The record is from RNAcentral. Lineage: Eukaryota; Metazoa; Chordata; Actinopteri; Labriformes; Labridae.
GGCCGCUAGCUUACUUCACUUAAGACAUUUGAUCUCUUAAGUGAAGUAAGCUAGCGGCC